UGCGCCAAAGGAGAGAUGGUCCCAACGUG
RNAcentral lists this non-coding RNA (29 nucleotides) under Mus musculus (house mouse). Lineage: Eukaryota; Metazoa; Chordata; Mammalia; Rodentia; Muridae. The record is from RNAcentral.